GCCAGGCCUCGAUGAGUAGGAGGGCGC
Molecule: small nuclear RNA, 27 nt
Filed under: Arabidopsis thaliana (thale cress)
Lineage: Eukaryota; Viridiplantae; Streptophyta; Magnoliopsida; Brassicales; Brassicaceae
Description: snRNA_12193
Source: RNAcentral